Molecule: RNA transcript, 1616 nt
Organism: Malus domestica (apple)
Lineage: Eukaryota; Viridiplantae; Streptophyta; Magnoliopsida; Rosales; Rosaceae
Source: RefSeq, a predicted model, not a curated record
GACAUUACACUUUCUCUCUCUUGGUGGUACCCAUUGAUUUAUGUAUAUAGGAUCAGGAUCCUCUCCUGAGCUUAGGAGGCUGAGCUUCCUGAGUAAAUCAUACGGGCCAUUGAUUUUUGAUCUAACGGCUACAAAUAGAGGGCCAUUCCAAAAGUUAUAAUAAUUGUAACCGUUGGAUCAAAAAUCAACGGCACGAUUGAUUUGCUCAGGAGGCUCAGCCUCUUAAGCUCAGGAGAGGAGAGGAUCUUGAUCCAUGUAUAUAUUCCCUCUUUGGUCUCUUCUCAAUUCUCUAGAAAUAUAUACAAGCCAAGCCAUUUUUCCAACACAAAACCAUUCUCCAUUCUUCUCUAAACUAGCCAAUAAGCCUAAAACCUUCAUUUCCUCAUCAUUUCUUCAACAAUGGAGGACGAAAAUUACGUUGAGAAUAUUCCUCGUUAUCGAGAUCAAUCAGAAGAAGAAGAAGAUGCAGAAGAAGCACUCUCUCUCAGCGACCUUCCACUAGACAAUAUCCACGAACAAGUCAACGAAGUCCACGACAGGUCCUCCAAGCACCUGCACACUCGCCGUUCUUCAGCCGAUCAGUUUUUCGAGUUCUUCAGCGACUUCAGCUCCGACAGCUUCAUGUGUUCAGCCGAAGAUAUCAUCGUCUGCGGGAAACUCAUACCCUUCAAAGAUCACACAAAUGAAGCCCCUAAGACGACAUGUACUAACAAUGGUUAUCACAAAAAAGAUUCAUCUUUUCGAAGGCGGUCAGAGUCGCUGCCUGGGUUACAAAGUUCGGUAGCACGAUCAAGCAGCACAAAGAAUCAGAUCAUGAUGAGGAACAGCAGAUCCUUGGAUUAUCAAAAGCUUCACCGGCAAUCUUCGAUGGUAUCCCCGACCCCGGCAGAGAUGGAGAGGAAUUCUUCCACGAAGAGUGUUGGAAAAUACGAUAAGAAGAGUGGUAACAAGCCAAAGUGGUUUUUUCUCAUGUUUGGGAUUGUGAGGUUUCCGUCUGAGAUGGACCUAAGCGACAUCAAGAACCGGCAGAUUCGACGAAACCCAUCCACCACGCUCUUCCGGAGUGAAGCCUCUGACAAUCGGAGCUCCGAAAAGGGCUCCUGGAGACUGCUCAGGGCAUUGAGCUGCAAGGACCAUGCAAGUGUUGCUGUAACGCCGCCGUACUGUACACAAGUGUGAGAGGCUAUUUCUGAUCACGUGCCAUGCACUGUAAUAUCAUAUCCCUAGUCCCCCUAGCUAACCCAUGAAUAUGAUUAUAUGAUUUUAGGGGCAAAAUGGUCAUUAAAAUUCUGGAUUUGUUUGGACGUGAGGAUAAAUUAAUAUAAUUAUGGUUUAUGACGUUCCGUAGAAGCAAAGGGGUGUACAGUAGAAGAGCCAUGGUCGACGAUGGCGCCCCUCCAUCUGCUUAUUAAUUGAGGAUGAAGAGAAGCAGGUUUUGUUGUUUGGUGGCCACAUAAAAUGAAAUUAAUGAAUACCACGAGAAUCCGAUUACGACAUUAAAUUCUUGUGUUUUUGUUUUUAUUUAUUUUUGUAUUUAUUCAUUGUAAUGUUAAUUCUUUUGUGUUGCUCAUAAUAAAUAUAUCGGUUUGUGAUAGAACCUUAACUUUGCAUCUUGA